This 677-nucleotide long non-coding RNA is filed under the name Olea europaea subsp. europaea. The record is from RNAcentral. Lineage: Eukaryota; Viridiplantae; Streptophyta; Magnoliopsida; Lamiales; Oleaceae.
CUCUGGACAUAAAUAGUAGAAGCGAUGUUCUAAAUGUGAGUAGUAAAGGCCAUACUCUAAAUAUAUAUACCUGUAAUAAACUAACACCCUUACAUGGAGGUGAAGCUUGAAGCUUCCAUGUCAAGGGCUUUCAUUUUUUUGUAUGUUGGAAGGGAAAUAAAAACUACACCAUUCCUAAAGAACAAACGUCUCUUUGAAUUUAACUUGAUUCAAGAGCCACAACAGUUGCUCAUUCGAUCUUUGCCUUGUCUUAUUUUUGCUGUUCAUUGUCAUCGGAGACAGGUCUAUGAAUUCGAUUGAUUCCUUGUUCAACUAAUCAACUUUUACGUUGCUGUCUAACCUUUAUCAGCAUCUUCAUAAAUUCAACACGAACCUAGUGAGGUCCUCCUCAGGACUGGGUUGUCACAUUGGAGAAUUGUCGAUGACCUUAACUGCAUUUUCUAGCUUCCCUGAAUGGCCAAAUAAUUCGACAAUGCACCCCAUAAUGCUCAACCUUUCCAAGCCAAUCAAAUGAAACACUUCUCAACCAAACCUUGGUGACUACACCCGUGCAAGUUGCAACGAACCAAGAAAUGUAACAGAGUUUUUACUCCACUCAUCAUGUUAACGAAAAGAGAAAUACCUCCAAAACCAGGUUCAGUAGCCAAUUCAUGCCCUACAAAAACAUUAAACAACAG